This 2442-nucleotide long non-coding RNA is filed under the name Homo sapiens (human). RNAcentral describes it as "HSALNT0293754". The record is from RNAcentral. Lineage: Eukaryota; Metazoa; Chordata; Mammalia; Primates; Hominidae.
UUGCUUUGAAAGUCCGGUUUAAGAGACAUGGAAGUGAUCACCUCAAAACAAUGUAACAUCAGAUUUUGGUUAAAGAUACUGCAUGUUUAGCUGAUUGCAGUGGCUCACACCUGUAACCCCAGCACUUUGGGAGGCCGAGGCGGGCGGAUCACCUGAGGUCAGGAGUUUGAGACCAACCUGGCCAACAUGGUGAAACCCCGUCUCUACUAAAGAUACAAAAAUUAGCCGGGUGUGGUGGCGGGCACCUGUAAUCCCAGCUACUUGGGAGGCUGAGACAGGAGAAUCACUUGAACCCAGGAGGCAGAGGUUGCAGUGAGCUGAGAUUGCGCCAUUGCACUCCAGCCUGGGUGACAAGAGUAAAACUCCGUCAAAACAAAAACAAAAAGAGAGGAAAAGAAAAGAAAAAGAAAAGAAAAGAAGUCAGGAAAGGUUGAAUAAUGUCUCAGUGCCUGAGACUAGAGAGUAAGCUGGAAGUGAUGAUUCAUUUUCUUUCUCCCUCGGCUCUCAGAGGGUCAGGUAAGCAUGUAUCUGCUAGAUGGGAUCCUCUUUAAGUUAGCUGGGGCUGGGCCCCAUGCUCUCCUUACUCUUGUAGCACUUAGUCCUAAUACCACCCCUUUUCCAUCACUACAGGAAAUAAGCCUAAUUCCAGGUCCAGCGGUUUUUGACACUUUUGUCCUCACCACCUGCCUUCUGAAAAUUCCCCCUCUCUUUGGCUUCUGGGAUAAUCACUGUUUCUAAUUUCUCCCACUUCUGAACCUCUUCUCUGUCUCCCUUGAUGGGUUUCUUUUUCCAUGAGAAAGUACCCUCCCCCUGCUUUUUUUUUUUAAACUGAAUUCUAUUCUCAGCCCCCCUUUUCUUCCCACUCUAUAAAUCAUUCCUAGGAGAUUCUCAUCUUGCAUGGCAUUGUUUCUCAUAUAAUGACUGACAAUUCUCCAUAUCCAGCCCCAGCCUCUCCACUGGGCUCUGAAAAUGCAUUUCCAACUUGUUACUUACAUCUUCUGUAGUUUUCUUAAAUUCAACUUGCCCAUAACAGAAUUUGUUUUCCACAGCAAAAACGUUCCUUCUCCUGUAUUCCCUAUAUAAAUUAAUGUUAUUUCUAUCAUAGGGUGUCCAAAUGGGCAACUUGCCUGGGAUUGAGGGGUUUCCCAUAACACAAGACUUUCAGUGCUGAACCUGAGAAAGUCCUGGGCAACCUGGGACCAGCUGGGCCCCCUAUCUAUCUAUCAAAUCUCCCAAACCAGCACCUCCGAGUUUCUUUCCACACUUCCCCCUCUCUCAUCUCCCACCUCUAAUUAGUCACCAAAUUCUCGGUAUCAUACCUCAGAAAUCUCUCUAGAAACUUUCCCUACUUUUCUCUUCUCCAUACUACUGCCUGUAUUCAGGCCUUUAUUAUUUCUUGCCUGAGAUACUGUAAUAGAAUCCCACCUUGUGACUUUGAGCUCAGUCCACUUUAUAUUCUGCCUAAGAAACCUGCAUGAAUACAGAUAUAAUCAUCAUGACACUAUUAAACAAUAAACCUAGAAGGAAUGAAUUCAUACAGAAAAUUGAAUCCUGCCGUAGAUUAGAGGUUUUUGGCUUUUCACCUUGACCACAAACCCAGGAACUGAUUGUAACCUCAGUAUAAUAGAUAUCUGUUAGGGAUCAACACAAUUUUCUCCUCAGCAUCUGGAUCAAUUUUUCCCUCUGUCUGGACAGGUGUGCUUGCUUUUCAAAAAAUUGCUAUGGGAACAUCAUCUUGCAUUAUAGUCUAAUCAAAAUAAAGCCAUAAAAUUUCUGCAAUUAUGUACAAAGAACUAGAUAAUGGUGAUAGGAUAAGGAUCAAGAAAGGGCAAAAAUACAAAUUUUAACAGGAAACCAAAUACUAGUACACUUCAUUUUAUUGUCCUUCCCUUUAUUGUGCUUCACAGAUACUACAUUUUUUUUUUUUUAAAGAAAUUGAAGUUUUGUGGCAAUUCUGCACCAGGAAGUCUUGCACCAGAAAGUGUAUCAGCACCAUUUUUCCAACAGCAUGUGCUCACUUUGUGUCUCUGUGUCCCAUUUUAGUAAUUAUCAUAAUAUUUCAGACUUUUUCAUUAUUAUUAUAUCUUUUAUUGUGAUCUGUGGUUAGUGAUCUUUGAUGUUACUGUUGUAAUUGUUUUAUGUCGCCAUAAACAGCACCUGUAUAUGAUGGUGAACUUAACCAAUAAAUGUGUGUGUUCUGACUGCUAUACUGACUGGCUGCUCCCCCAUCUCUGUUUCUUUUCUUGGGCCGCCCUAUUCCCUGAGACACAAUAAUAUUGAAAUUAGGCCAGUUAACAAUCCUACAAAGACCUCUAAGUGUUCCAGUGAAAGGAAGCAUUGCAAGUCUCUCACUUUAAAUGAAAGGCUAGCAAUGAUUAAUCUCAAUGCGGAAGUCAUAUUGAAAGCUGAGAUAGGCUGAAAGCUAGGCCUCUUGCACCAAAC